This 250-nucleotide unclassified non-coding RNA is filed under the name uncultured Rozellomycota. RNAcentral describes it as "uncultured Cryptomycota sequence contains ITS2". The record is from RNAcentral. Lineage: Eukaryota; Fungi; Rozellomycota.
CAUAAACAUUUAUCCAAGCGAUUGGGAUUUGAGAUUCGCCUUCUCGGGACGGCGUCUUUCCAAAUGUAUUACGGAGCUGGCUGCUUGCUGCAUGCUGCUCGAGUGAGGAUGUUUGCAUCCGUGCAAAAUAUUCAUGAGAGAGAGUGUCUAAGCGAGGAGCGAACAACGCCCGAGGGAUUGGAGUGGGGGACUAGUAGCGUUAGUGGAAGCUAAUGUGACGGUCUUCUUCACAGACAAUCAAUACGCACAA